This 23-nucleotide non-coding RNA is filed under the name Arabidopsis thaliana (thale cress). Lineage: Eukaryota; Viridiplantae; Streptophyta; Magnoliopsida; Brassicales; Brassicaceae. The record is from RNAcentral.
UAUAAGAAGUAUUUAUGGGUCCA